ACGAACGCUGGCGGCGUGCUUAACACAUGCAAGUCGGACGGAAAGGCCCUGCUUUUGUGGGGUUCUCGAGUGGCGAACGGGUGAGUAACACGUGAGUAACCUGCCCUUGACUUUGGGAUAACUUCAGGAAACUGGGGCUAAUACCGGAUAGGAGCUCCUGCUGCCUGGUGGGGGUUGGAAAGUUUCGGCGGUUGGGGAUGGACUCGCGGCUUAUCAGCUUGUUGGUGGGGUAGUGGCUUACCAAGGCUUUGACGGGUAGCCGGCCUGAGAGGGUGACCGGCCACAUUGGGACUGAGAUACGGCCCAGACUCCUACGGGAGGCAGCAGUGGGGAAUAUUGCACAAUGGGCGGAAGCCUGAUGCAGCAACGCCGCGUGCGGGAUGACGGCCUUCGGGUUGUAAACCGCUUUCGCCUGUGACGAAGCGUGAGUGACGGUAAUGGGUAAAGAAGCACCGGCUAACUACGUG
Molecule: ribosomal RNA, 467 nt
Filed under: uncultured bacterium
Lineage: Bacteria
Description: partial 16S ribosomal RNA
Rfam family: Bacterial small subunit ribosomal RNA
Source: RNAcentral